GGAGUCUUCUGAUCAGGCCACGAGGUGUACCAGUACUGCUGCAGACUUCGCUCCUCAUCCCCGCACUGGUGCACACGGACACAUCAACACACAAACAGAUAUCCACAUCUGAGAUUUCUACUGACGCUCCAUCACAGUUGAGUGAACACCCUCAGACUGUAGUCAUCCUCCUGGGUUACUGUGACAACGGUGAUCUCGAUGCCCUCGUGGGUCACAGUGUCCUCAGG
Molecule: long non-coding RNA, 227 nt
Organism: Thunnus maccoyii (southern bluefin tuna)
Lineage: Eukaryota; Metazoa; Chordata; Actinopteri; Scombriformes; Scombridae
Exons: 3
Source: RefSeq, a predicted model, not a curated record